GGAUAGCAGCACUGUAUAUCGUACUUAAAACACUGCUGUUGAAUUUCAUUGUGGAUUUACUUGAGACAGUCCAAUAGUGAAGGAUUCCUGUAUUGACACUACUGAUAACAAAAGCUCGCUUAUAUCUGGACAGUCACAGUUUCGUUGACAAACCAGGUGUAAGACAAGGUGACGAGCCUGGAGUAGUAGUCUGGGGCUAAGGUUGAUUGACUGGAACACGUCAGUGGUAUGGUAUUAUUGACCUCAACGUCAAGGUCUCCUGUGAUUCUAGGCCUCGAAGUUGCAUUAAUGCAUAACAAAGAGACAACUCACUGUGUACAAUCAGUACGACACCUCCACCUGACCAUGCAGCUCCAGCCCACGAUCCACCAUUGUAAUAUCCAGCGUCAUCCAGAGUUAUGUCUCUUAUC
This is a long non-coding RNA of Magallana angulata, 410 nucleotides long. RefSeq lists it as uncharacterized. The record is from RefSeq and is a predicted model, not a curated record. The transcript has 3 exons. NCBI's taxonomy places the organism in Eukaryota, Metazoa, Mollusca, Bivalvia, Ostreida, Ostreidae.